GACGAACGCUGGUGGCGUGCUUAACACAUGCAAGUCGAACGGAAAGGCCCUGCUUGCAGGGUACUCGAGUGGCGAACGGGUGAGUAACACGUGGGUGAUCUGCCCUGCACUUCGGGAUAAGCCUGGGAAACUGGGUCUAAUACCGGAUAGGAGCCAUUUUUAGUGUGAUGGUUGGAAAGUUUUUUUCGGUGUAGGAUGAGCUCGCGGCCUAUCAGCUUGUUGGUGGGGUAAUGGCCUACCAAGGCGGCGACGGGUAGCCGGCCUGAGAGGGUGGACGGCCACAUUGGGACUGAGAUACGGCCCAGACUCCUACGGGAGGCAGCAGUGGGGAAUAUUGCACAAUGGGCGCAAGCCUGAUGCAGCGACGCCGCGUGGGGGAUGACGGCCUUCGGGUUGUAAACUCCUUUCGCUAGGGACGAAGCUUUUUGUGACGGUACCUAGAUAAGAAGCACCGGCUAACUACGUG
This 466-nucleotide ribosomal RNA is filed under the name uncultured bacterium. RNAcentral's name for it is "partial 16S ribosomal RNA". It matches the Rfam family "Bacterial small subunit ribosomal RNA", at positions 28 to 507 of the family's 1533-position model. The record is from RNAcentral.